GAGUCGCUAGUAAUCGCGGAUCAGCAACGCCGCGGUGAAUGCGUUCCCGGGCCUUGUACACACCGCCCGUCAAGUCAUGAAAGUGGGCAGCACCCGAAGACGGUGGCCUAACCCUUGUGGGGGGAGCCGUCUAAGGUGAGGCUCGUGAUUGGGACUAAGUCGUAACAAGGUACC
RNAcentral lists this ribosomal RNA (174 nucleotides) under uncultured bacterium. RNAcentral describes it as "partial 16S ribosomal RNA". It matches the Rfam family "Bacterial small subunit ribosomal RNA", at positions 1329 to 1500 of the family's 1533-position model. The record is from RNAcentral.